RNAcentral lists this ribosomal RNA (559 nucleotides) under uncultured bacterium. RNAcentral describes it as "partial 16S ribosomal RNA". It matches the Rfam family "Bacterial small subunit ribosomal RNA", at positions 355 to 905 of the family's 1533-position model. The record is from RNAcentral.
UGGGGAAUUUUGGACAAUGGGCGAAAGCCUGAUCCAGCAAUGCCGCGUGUGUGAAGAAGGCCUUCGGGUUGUAAAGCACUUUUGUCCGGAAAGAAAUCCUUGGCUCUAAUACAGUCGGGGGGAUGACGGUACCGGAAGAAUAAGCACCGGCUAACUACGUGCCAGCAGCCGCGGUAAUACGUAGGGUGCAAGCGUUAAUCGGAAUUACUGGGCGUAAGCGUGCGCAGGCGGUUUGCUAAGACCGAUGUGAAAUCCCCGGGCUCAACCUGGGAACUGCAUUGGUGACUGGCAGGCUAGAGUAUGGCAGAGGGGGGUAGAAUUCCACGUGUAGCAGUGAAAUGCGUAGAGAUGUGGAGGAAUACCGAUGGCGAAGGCAGCCCCCCUGGGGCCAAUACUGACGCUCAUGCACGAAAGCGUGGGGAGCAAACAGGAUUAGAUACCCUGGUAGUCCACGCCCUAAACGAUGUCAACUAGUUGUUGGGGAUUCAUUUCCUUAGUAACGUAGCUAACGCGUGAAGUUGACCGCCUGGGGAGUACGGUCGCAAGAUUAAAACUCAAA